This 88-nucleotide ribosomal RNA is filed under the name Glaesserella parasuis. RNAcentral describes it as "partial 16S ribosomal RNA". It matches the Rfam family "Bacterial small subunit ribosomal RNA", at positions 1446 to 1533 of the family's 1533-position model. RNAcentral also lists the same sequence under 1 other name. The record is from RNAcentral. Lineage: Bacteria; Pseudomonadati; Pseudomonadota; Gammaproteobacteria; Pasteurellales; Pasteurellaceae.
GGGGGCGUUUACCACGGUAUGAUUCAUGACUGGGGUGAAGUCGUAACAAGGUAACCGUAGGGGAACCUGCGGUUGGAUCACCUCCUUA